Molecule: long non-coding RNA, 2425 nt
Organism: Tetranychus urticae (two-spotted spider mite)
Lineage: Eukaryota; Metazoa; Arthropoda; Arachnida; Trombidiformes; Tetranychidae
Source: RefSeq, a predicted model, not a curated record
ACUAUAAUAUUGGUUUAAGUGAUAAAAGUAGCUGUAGAGAGCGAUGAAAAAUAGAUGAACAGAAUAUCCAACGAAAACAAAUAAUAAAAUCAAUUUUGAUCCACUUGUUAAGAGUAAAAAGUUGUUAUUAAAUUUGAUCACUCAGUAAAUUUCAAGUCCUUGUUUGAGUUUAAAGUAAUUUUUAAACUUUGGGUGAACCUUUCAAGCUUUUAUUGAUGAUUAACACUGACUGUGAAGAUUAGAUUCAUUAAUAGAUUGAUUUAAUUAGGUAAAUAGGUUUUAAAUGAAAUUAAAAAUGAAACUUAACCACUUUGAUAAAUUGGCUUGAAUAACGAAACAUGUGUUGACAAUGACUUUUUUAAUAAUAACGCCAUCUAUAUUACAUAUUUAAUACAAACAGUGAAAAUACAAAAGACAGCAAUAAUUAAUACAAACUGAUAAGAUAGGGAAAGCAGUAAUUAUUAAGAUAAUUCCAACCGAUUAAUUAACCAAUUAUUGAGAAAUGGUGAUAUAUCUAUUAAUAGGUGAAAAUUACAGUUGUUUCAGUGAUCAUUGUAUUAGAUAUGUGAAUAAGUGUUAUGGUGAAUAUUAUAAUGGUGUUUCAAAGUCAAUGUUCAUCACAAAGGAAGGAAAGUCAUUGUCAACUUGAACAAUAAUCAUAAUCAAUCUGAUUAUCGUGUUUAACCAGGUUACCUUGUAACUUUGUGAUAAAUACAAUGAUGAUAUUAUUGUAAUAUGUAUUUAUGUUAAUAGUGUGCACCUCACUGAUUAUACAUUACAGCAAAAUACUUGAGAUAAUGUCACCAACCACCAUCAUCAACAAUACAAAAAAGAAAGCUAAACAACAUUAUACGAUAUUUUUUUUGAUUAAUGGCUGAAUAUGGCAAUGUAUUAAUAGAUAAUCGAUGAAAUACCAAUUUCAAUUAACAUAAACUUUCCAUUAGCACCUUUCUUGUUUCUCUUCCCUCCAAGUUACAUCAUCAUCAUCAUGGAUAGGUUUGGAGAUACAUGAGGCCUUUUUCCGCUUGAUGAAAUGUUUAUAAUGAUGACAAAGCCAUUUGUAUCAUCUGCCACACAUUGGUUGACCUCAGACAGAGACAUAGGCAAAGACAGAAGCCAAAGUUGAAGUUGAACCAGAAACAGAGCUUCCUGUUAUUUUGUAUAUCUUUGGAUAAGGAGGUUGAAGUUUAUGAUGAUAACAUGAUGACCAGACGCCAGUUAUCUCUCAAUGUUGAUCUUUUUAUGGUUAAAAUGAGUUGCGAUGCAUUUGUUUACCUAAUAUGACAACUGAAUGGCUGUUAUUCAGGCUGCUGAUCACCCAAUUACCACCAUUACCACCGCCGCUGCAAUUGCUCUGACUGUCACUUGAAAGCUGAUUCUUUGCUUACUUAAUCCAAUGUGACAAAAAAUUAUCUGCUAACAUUUGAAUUGAUUCAAUUCAUUGACUAUUCAAAUGUAGUAGCAGGCAAUCGGCAUGUUAUCUCAUGAUAAUGUUAAAAAUGCAAAGUAAGAUUGUCAUUGAUGACAGUUUCUGUGAAAAAUUUAAUUUACAUUUCAAUGGCAACCCAUCAAUGGCAACAUUUAAAUUGUCCCAUCCAAUCUAGAAAGUAAACUCUCAACAUAAUCAACUUGACAGCUCAUCUUCUCUUCCUUUUCAAUCUUCUCGUUCAUCAUCGUCUUCCUCUGACUUUUUCAAUUCACAUCUUCUCCUUAUUUUACCUGAAUAACUUGAUUCUGGCGGAACACGCAACACGCGUUUACCUAUCCGUUUGCGUGUUUCAACAUGAAAGGCUCAAACAUAUAUCCUCGUAAUGAUGGUGAUGAUGGUGUAUUAAAAGGACACCUUAAUUGACUCUGAAUAAUGGCCUUUUUUAUCUUUCCACUUUUCCUCAAUUUGAAUACUUCUGAUGGCGGAAUGUAAAAGCUAAAGGAUUUUCAUGUCCGAUUUAACAAGAUAAUAACUGAAAGCUUGGGAAGUUUUAAUCAACAAUCAUCAUAAAACAGAUGAUAUUGACAUUCAUUUCAAAUUUUACAAUCAAGUGGACCAUUAAGUUAUAAAUCAAUCAAGUUAAUUGUCAAACAUCCUUUACAUGAUCCUUUCUUAACCAGGCAAACAAUGUUCCCAUGAUUGUUAACCAAACCUUUGGUUCCAGUUAAAUUGUUAUUAACUGGCUGACUUUUCACUCAUGAUUUAUAUUGUCAAAUUUUAAUGGUUAAUAAUUUAUUAUCCAAUCAUUAGUCCAACUCAGGUUAUACCUUUGUCUAAUGACUCGAUACAACUUUACUCAAUUUUGGGUUUGGUUAACAAUCGUAACAAUCAUAAGCUUCAGUUUGCUUGUUUAAUGACAAUUUAUCUGAUUUUGUUAAUUUCAAACAAAAAGCGCAAGAUUAAAUCAGUUGCUUUAAAGCUUGUCUUUGAUAUUAA